CUGCUGCAUUGGGAUGCUUAGUCUGCAGGGCGAAGAGAGAGGAGGGGGCGAUGGCGUUGGAGGGGUGUGCGGUGGGGAGGGAAGGAGGGGGGUGGAGGGAGUGAGGGGAGAGCUGGGAGCAAGGGUCUCCGUUCACCUUGUGUCGCGUCAAAAACAGAUGGCUUGUUCCUGUAGCAGGAGAGAGGGGAUCUCCUAUCGCUCUGUCCCAAUCCCAGAGGAGGGUAGCAUGGAAAACCGAGACAGGUAAAGGGGAACCAAGACUUUCCCGGCUGGACAGAAGCAGCCCUCUCUGAAUGGUCGUUAGCCGGCAGCCGAGACACCCUGCUGGGAUCGACAACGCGGCGCUGGCUGGGGUGCCCUGCCUGCCACCCUGAGAGGGGGCCCCGUG
RNAcentral lists this long non-coding RNA (388 nucleotides) under Gadus morhua (Atlantic cod). RNAcentral describes it as "lncRNA (ENSGMOG00000026135.1)". Lineage: Eukaryota; Metazoa; Chordata; Actinopteri; Gadiformes; Gadidae. The record is from RNAcentral.